Molecule: long non-coding RNA, 566 nt
Organism: Hippocampus zosterae (dwarf seahorse)
Lineage: Eukaryota; Metazoa; Chordata; Actinopteri; Syngnathiformes; Syngnathidae
Exons: 2
Source: RefSeq, a predicted model, not a curated record
GAGCGUCACUCUCCCGCCCGUUUCCUCCGCUGGUGCAACACCUGAUUCAAAUGAUCAGAUCAUCAAAGUCGUUGAAAGCCGACAGCAAAUAUGAUCAUUUGUCUCGGUGUGCGAGAGAGCAAGAAAGGAGCCCCGCCACCGUUUGAUUUUAGCCACAGCCAUCUCAACCAGCUCUCUGGAGCUGGUUGAGGAGGAGGUCCUGUGGUUAAACUAAACUUUUUUUCAAAUUUCUGGAUUUGACACCUGUGCUCAAUUAGAGUUGGCUUCACUUGUGAAGAGAGCAGAGCUGGACGCUUCUUCGACAGCACGGUGGGCUGAAAGACACGGUAACGUUAACCCUCGACUUUUAAAUAUUCAAACCUUGCAAGCGUGCGGCUGGGCACCCCGAUAUUUGGAAGAUCCAAACGCCACAGGAUGGCAGCCAUUUUAAGAGUCAUUCUGUCGAGGUGAGCCUGCGUAGACAGAAGUGAGAACAGACACAUUUGGGAUUUAGUCUGAUAUGUAUUCAAAAGUGGCAGUUUUACCUUGUUGCAGUCGAUUUGGCCAUUCUGUAGACGAUGCAAAGC